GACUCUUUCUCCUUCAUACCCAGAAAGGCGAUGGCUUUGUGGAUGAGACUAGUCUGAAGAAACUUGUGGGUGCUAUUGAUGAAGAGAUCAAGAAAAGGUAGCAGCAAUAGUGGAGCUGGACAUGAGUGAGGUGCAAUGGAGGGUCAUGAGGAAGCGUGCAAGAACCUCAGCGGGAUGAUGAGAAGGGCUGAAAUGCUGCCAAACCAGGUCCUUUUCUGAUGGUGGCUGGGGCUUGGUUAGGGCUUGGGAGAGUAAAGAAAAAUAUAAUCUGC
Molecule: long non-coding RNA, 272 nt
Filed under: Rattus norvegicus (Norway rat)
Lineage: Eukaryota; Metazoa; Chordata; Mammalia; Rodentia; Muridae
Description: long non-coding RNA NONRATT000552
Rfam family: Selenocysteine insertion sequence 1 (bases 166-230)
Source: RNAcentral